Molecule: long non-coding RNA, 4840 nt
Filed under: Homo sapiens (human)
Lineage: Eukaryota; Metazoa; Chordata; Mammalia; Primates; Hominidae
Description: HSALNT0336511
Source: RNAcentral
CAACUGGUUACGUUAGUUUCAUCAGUUACAUAAAAUGAAGAAGCAUGGCAUAUUUCAUUACCCAGAAGAAGGGUGACCAACCAUUUGGGUUUGCCUGGGACUUCCUCAGUUUUAAAACUGAAAGUCCAGCAGAGCUGGAGACCCUCAGUCCCUGGUAACCAGUAUGCCAUGUACAAAUCUCAAGCUUCCUAACAUUAAAAGCAUGUACACAAAGGUGUUAGUCAUUAUGAGGACAGAUGAGUCACCCCCAGUCUCCUGGUUUUAGCUUUAGGAUAUAACAGUAUUAUUUCUUAAGCUCUAAGUCAGACCUGUGGAGGACUUCUUGACCCAGGUCAUUGAAUUGUGGAUUUGAAGAUUUUCUUAAUCUUUUCUAAGUGAAAUACCUAACUCUGAGACACCAAGAGCUAAGAUAGAAAGAGCGUCUGCAGUAGCUUUGCUGAUCAUGCAGGGGUAAUUUAGAAGCAGGUGCUCUUGGCUCCUUUGUGUCAAUGUGGUGGGCAGAGGACAGGAUAAGUUAACUUGCUCACAGCUUCCUUCACCCUGGCAGCAGCCAGGAGCCAGAAUUUGGAACUCUCGUGUCAGCUCUUAUUAAUUCCCCCAGCAGUCUUUGGCAUUAUAGUCAAACAUCAUUUCAAGCUCUCAGUCUGUCAACUCUGGAUAAUUCUUUGCUAUCUCUUUGCUGUUAUGGGAAUUGAUUAAUACUUAUGAGCACAUUUUAAUGGAAAAAUGGAGUGUAAGUAUUAUUGCAUGAACUGAAAAAUAGUUUCCUACAUAAUAUGUACAAGGAAAAUAAGUCAUGGGCUGUAGAGGCUUCUUGCGAGAGUUUUAAGUGGCGAUCACUUACCUGCUGCUUCCCUAUUCAUUUUUAAUAUGUUUAGUGCUUUUGUUAUUUAAUGUUCUCAACAAUAAUUUCUGCUAAAUUAAUUUUAUUAUUGUUGUUACAUAUUGAUGCAUUUUGUUUGCUGUUAAGUUCAAUACAUUUCUUUGUUUCCAGUUAGAAUUUGUAAAUCACUGACUGAUUUUCUCCACUGAAAUUUUUCUGGUGUACUAGGGAGAUGUUUAAUUACUUAAUAAUUGCUGAAACUCAUCACUUAAGAAAAUAAAUAUUUCUCUAGUCAAGGUCAUUGCACAUCAAAUUUCUGUUACAUGAAUUAGUGCUCCAUUCUUGAAUUUCUAAGUAUAAAAUUAGAAGUAUUCUUGGCAGAGCUGAUAAGACACAUUUUGAAGUCCAAGACAGAGAAAAUAAAGUUACUUAGAGCAUAGAGAAUCUGAAUAAAGAAAUUGAGUGUAUCAAGCAGAUCAUCUCCUCACCUUGAUAUACCAGUGUGACCCUUUCUUCUUCUUACCAAAAUUCUGCAAUACUAACUCAUAAUUAAAAUCAGGGUACAGUGGAGACAUAUUGAUACAUUCUUCUGGUGCCAGUCUUCUCUUUCAAUAUUUUAAAUGUCACACAUACACAUAAAAAAUUUUUAAAAUUACAUAACAAACUUCCUCAUGGCAAACACAUUACAUUUUCUAGCAUCCAUUUCAGAGGGAUAUUUUAUUUUCCAGGGAGCACCCUAAGCCUUUUGCUAAUCUUACCAGCAGUUUACUUACUAUUUCUUUGGAUGUUUUUCUUCCCUGUUAUACUUUCCACAGAUAUCUCACCUUAUCUAGGUUAUCAGUUAGUAUGGGUUAGGUUAAACUCCUACAGGAUAACAACCCUUAAUUCUCUGAGGCCUAAAACAACAAAGGUUAUUUUUCAAUUAGGUUAUAUGUACCUAUCAGGUCAGUGGAAGCUCUUCCAUGUUUUGCUUAGCCAACAAUGCAGGCUAAUAGAUCACCCCUCAUCUGGAACAUUGUCAUCAUGGUAGGGGAAGGAAACACGUGUAACUGCACAUUUCCUCUGAAAGGUAUCUUGUGUGUGUGUGUGUGUGUGUGUGUGUGUGUGUGUUUAUUUAACCUGGAAGUGAUGUAAUCAGUUCUAACAUUUCAUCACUCAAAGCAAAUCAUAUGUCUUUGCUUAUCUUCAAAGGGUUAGGAAAGUACAAUUCUGCCAUAUUUUAGAAGAUGAGAACUGGAAAUAUCUUUGAACAGCAAUAAUGAAUACCACAUCAAGUCAUUUUGGUUAAUAUUUUUAUUUAGAAAGAAUGACAUUUUUUACCCCAUCCUCAGAUUCAGGACUCAAUCACUCAACAUAUAUUUAUUUAAGAAUCAAUUUUUUCAAUGUUUUUUUCCAAGCUCUGUGGAUGAUACAAAGAUGAAACAAGUAUAGAUCUAAAGACUCUUGUGUAUAAUAGAGUGCAAUAGUCCUCUUAUAGUACCUGAUACUUCUGCUUCAUAGCUUUAGCAGGAUGGUUAUAAUUAUUUCUACAACUAUUUGUCUAAUGCUAUCUAAUGCUCUAGUAGUUUCACAAAUUCUAUUUAGGUUACAGGCUGUACCUCUUUUCAUGACUACAUCCUCAACAGCAAAUACCCUGCCUGAUAUCUAGCAGGGGAUGUUCAACAAUUAUGUGUUGAGUAAAUUAUAAAAGAAGAAAACUACUAUGGUAGUCAGAGAGGGAGACAAUCUUUCCAAACAAAUGUAUGCUUCUUUAGAUUUGUACCUCCUUUUGCACUGACAAUAUUUAUCUGGUCACAUUUUUGUUUGCAAUGUGAGAGACUCUCCUUGUAUAGGAGAGACUAGGCUUAUUUUAUUUAAUUUUAUAUCCCCAAGCACUAGCCUAGUGCCUGACACACAGGAGCUCAAUAAAUAUUUGUUGAAUCAGUGAAGCAAAGGAGGUAAGCCUCAAGGACUACUGAAAUAAAUAAUUUUUAAUAGGCAGGCACACCAGAGUGUGCUUCCUUUAAUUGGUCUAUUAAUGACAUGUGGUUUAAUCUUUUUUUAAAGCACUGACAGACUAGCUGAUAAGUGUUUUUGUCAUCAAACAAAUUCUGAUUGCAUCUGAUACGAACUGGGCAAUGAAAUUUCAGCAGAUGACCUCCAGUGGCUGAAGAUGGCACAUUUGCUGGAGGCAAAAGUGGAGAAUGAUGAGGUUUUUCACAUUCUGUAAAUGUAGGGCUAGGUUUGUUGAGUGGAUUUGUAACUCAAUUCGUAUAUUUUCUUUGAUAUUCUGAAAUUUCUAUUGACUGUGAAGGUGUGAAAAUGUGUACAGUCAACCAGUAGCGAAUACCUUCCUUUGUGAAGAUGAGUAGAGCACAUAUUACAGACUUUCUGUGCUAAAGUGAACCAAAUGCAUACAUAUCAUUAUGUACAUAGGCAACAAGGUAUGACUUGUGGUUUAACUUUGAGGAAAAGCAAACUGCCUUGUAAUAGGCUUUUAUUAUAUACUGACCAUGUUUACUUUGAUGAUUCACCAGGAAAUAAUAAGCCCCUAAGACUCAGUUACUUUUCCAAAAUGAGCUACUCUUAUCUUCCAAGGCCCAAGGCACCAAUUACUUGUGUGCCAUAGAUGACAAUAUGCAUUAUAAGUUUAACAGAUUUUCAAUAAAAACAUUGCUAAAACAUCAUUAUUAUGAACUUAGUUAUUAAAGUACCAGGUACUUAAAAAUGUCCAAUAUCAAAAUAAAAAAUGCCAAGUAUACUUCUUAUGUAUCAAGAGACAAAAAAAGGCCUAGCAGGACAAGAAAUUCUUGAAGCUCUAUCCAAUUUCUUGGCAUAGACAUAGGAAAAAUCUAAAUCUGGAAACUUUGGCAUAAGAAUUGUUUUCUUUGUUUCUAUAAAAGACCAUGUAUAUAUAAGUAAGAAACGGUGCAUUUGUUGUUGCUGUUGUUGCUAAUGACUAAAAGUUUUACAACAUGGGUGAUAGAAAUUAACCUAUUACAUAUGUCUUUUAAUUGGAAAAUACUGAUUGGAUAUAUGACUUUUUUUUCUUCUUCUUGCAUUAGGAUUUUGUUAAUACUAUUGAGAUUUUGCAAAAGCUGCAUCAUAAAUGCAGCAUUCCAAGAAAGGAAAGCCCAUGGUUCAGGUUAUAUGAUUUGUGGACAUCAUAAUUCAAAGGACGCAAAAUAAAUUGUUGUUAGCACAAGAUAAACCUAGACUGAGAAUCAGGAGCCUGGGAUCCCAGUCCUGGAAUCUUGUAUGGGUCACAUUCUAUGUAAAAAUGUUCUUUGGCCACAUACUUUUCUUCUUCCACUCACUGAGUUCUUUACCCAUGCAGCCCCCCAACCCUGCCACCUAUGCUAGCCAAGAAUUGUCCAGAAUCUGCUUUUGACUGGAGUUUUUGAGAAGAAGCAGCUGUGUGGUAAAGAGAAGAUUCUCUUGUACAGGUCUGAGGAUUAUACUCUUUGGCCAAGAAAACUGGAAUAAAUUUAGAAUUAAGUUGUUACCAUCUGCUGCAAAUAUUAAAGGCCAUCUUUUCAUCAUCAUCAUGAUCAUCAUCAUUGUUUUCCUCUGAUUAUAACUAAAGAGCUCCAUAUUUCAUUUCCUUUCAUUUUAACGGAUUCUUGUCAUUUCCCCUAGUGUCAGGCUAGUGUUUGGUCCUACAAGAGAUGACUAAAAGAGGAAUUGGUGAAGGUUAAGAUGAAAGAGAUGGAGAAUCCCAAGGUACCAAGCUGUAUUAUAGCCAAAGGAAGUAUCUAAAUUUUGUCUGGAAGAGAAUAAAAGAUUAAGCUGAUGCCAAGACUCAAGUCCAAGGGAUAAGAUGAAAUUGUUUGCGGUCUGCUUAUUUAAUGGCAUCAUGGAAGACAGCUGAAGCCUGAAAAAGUUUCCAUUAAACCUCAGAAUAACAUAAAUCCCAUCAUCAGCCUCUCAGCAGUAGUAGCCAGACAUUAUCAUUCAGCCUUUGGUAUAAAAUAAUCUUUAGAGAUAUUUCACUUUGUUCUAUUAUAGAAAACAAUGACAACAACAACAAGACUCUUG